This is a long non-coding RNA of Bolinopsis microptera, 1490 nucleotides long. RefSeq lists it as uncharacterized. NCBI's taxonomy places the organism in Eukaryota, Metazoa, Ctenophora, Tentaculata, Lobata, Bolinopsidae. The transcript has 2 exons. The record is from RefSeq and is a predicted model, not a curated record.
GCACUGUCAGUGGUGGCUCACCCAGAUAACGGACAGUGUCUCUCUUUCUUUCUUCUUGGACUUGCAUUGUUGCUGGCGAGUCAGCCAGUAGCAAUGCAGCAUCUCACUCACUCAAUCACCUCAGCAGUUCGGUCCCUUUUUUCAUUGCAUUACUUUCGCUCCAGGAUAGCACUGUCCUGUCAUCCCCAAGCUAACUAUCGAGGUAGGGGGUCGGAUGCCAUCCGUCUCACCUGGUUCUUGACCUGUCGCCCUCAGACCUACAGAGGUUGGGUGUACUGUCGGUGGCCUGUCACCCAGGUUGACGGUGGUAUCUCUCCCUCUGCCUCCCUUUGGACAUGCAUUGUUGCUGGUGAGUCAGCUGGCAGCAGUGUAUCAUACUAUUGCGUGUUUACUAAUCCCCUCUUAGCUUUCAGGCUAAACUAAAAUUAUAAACUAACAGAAGCAGGAUAGAAGCAAGAAAUCAUCAGUAGCCCCUCAACUUAACGAAGACUGAUAUCAACCGCUCUGGUACAAGCAACUCUGAUAAAGUACGACACUGCUGCUUCUCUGGGAAGUCAGCACCAACAGAAAUGGGGACACUCUCUGAUAUGAGUGCUGGAAUUCUCAGCCGUUUUACUCUACAGGCUAAGUUUCUUGUUAUAAUUCUAUUGCUCUGUUCUUUCAUUUGUAUUCUGUCUCACUCUACUGCAUAUUGUAGAUCGUCAGCAUUCAUAGAACCAGGGUCUCAGUUACAGUCCUUCUGUUUGUUGACUAGACACACUUUUUGCAUCAUCUUUCGGUUUUUGACGGCGUUUAGAACACUUCUUGUUUUCUCGAUCGUUACUUGCCUCCGUAUUGGCUGCUAAACUAAAUUUAUAAACUAACAUUCGUUCCACCCCCUUGUGUGUAUACUAACACCCCUAGAUUCCCAGGAACAGGCAUAAAUAUCUACGGAAAUCAAAGCCAAACAGACAGACAGCUACUCAGCCACGAUGCAGGACAACAGAUACUGCUCUGAACCAAGGAUAAGUCUGAUGGAUACAGUCUCCCUAGACAUUCGCACAGAUUACAAGAAUGCCAACAUCAGACAUCACGUCUCUUAUUAAGACAAAGCUCAACUCUCUAUCCAAGUUCCUGAAAUUAGAGUUGUCUAACUGAGAUUCGCAGUCAGACAUGCAGUAUACCCCCCUCGACCAACCCAGCUACUAAUCCGUGUCUACAGGGCGACAGUUUUCCAAAACUGGUUACAUUCUUCCCUCAAGGCGCAGCUCCUACACCUGGUAAAUUCCACUCUAAUAGCACAACCUCUCAAACAGACUCACCGAAGUAAUCUUCAGCCAUCAAAUGCGAAGGGACUAUAGCACCGCUGUCAAACCUGAUCAUGUUACAAGGCAUGACUUUUCUGCCACUACUUCAUCAUUAUAGAUUAGUGAUUACUUAGUGUGUAGAUGAAACGAUAUGAGUGUAGCACACACUGGCUUAUCAAUGAAUGAUUGAUUCAUCCUAUCAGC